Molecule: ribosomal RNA, 2066 nt
Filed under: human gut metagenome
Description: bacterial LSU rRNA
Rfam family: Bacterial large subunit ribosomal RNA
Source: RNAcentral
UCAAGCUAGAAAGAGCGCAAGGGGAAUGCCUUGGCAUCAGGAGCCGAUGAAGGACGCGACAAGCUGCGAUAAGCUUCGGGGAGCUGCAAAUAAGCAUUGAUCCGGAGAUUUCCGAAUGGGGAAACCCGGCACGGCAAUACCGUGUCAGCGUGCACUGAAUCAAAUAGGUGUACGUGGGGAACCGCCUGAACUGAAACAUCUAAGUAGGGCGAGGAAAAGACAUCAACCGAGAUUCCGCAAGUAGUGGCGAGCGAACGCGGAAGAGGCCAAACCAGAGGUCAUUGAUCUCUGGGGUAUGGACUUGCAUCAUGAUCAGAGGUAUCUAGUCGAAUGGCGUGGGAAAGCCAACCACAGAGGGUGAGAGUCCCGUAGACGAAAGAGAAGACUGACAGCGAGUAUCCAGAGUACCGCCGGACACGUGAAACCCGGUGGGAACAUGGGAGGACCACCUUCCAAGCCUAAAUACUACCUGAUGACCGAUAGUGGAGCAGUACCGUGAGGGAAAGGUGAAAAGAACCCCGGGAGGGGAGUGAAAUAGUACCUGAAACCUUGUGCUUACAAGCAGUCAGAGCACGUUAAAGUGUGAUGGCGUACCUUUUGUAGAAUGGUCCGGCGAGUUAUAGUCACUGGCGAGGUUAAGCAAUUCAGUUGUGGAGCCGAAGGGAAACCGAGUCUUAAUAGGGCGUCGAGUCAGUGGCCAUAGACCUGAAACCGGGUGACCUAUCCAUGAGCAGGUUGAAGUUGGUGUAAAAACCAAUGGAGGACCGAACCCACGUUCGUUGCAAUGACCGGGGAUGACUUGUGGAUAGCGGAGAAAUUCCAAUCGAACUCGGAGAUAGCUGGUUCUCCCCGAAAUAGCUUUAGGGCUAGCGUUGUGUUAGUUUACCGGAGGUAGAGCACUGAAUAGGCUAGGGGGCGAUGAGCUUACUGAACCUUAUCAAACUUCGAAUGCCGGAUAAAUGGUGCACAGCAGUCAGACAGUGUGAGAUAAGUUUCAUUGUCAAGAGGGAAACAGCCCAGACCCACAGCUAAGGUCCCAAAUGAACGCUAAGUGGAAAACGAUGUGGGGUUGCAAAAACAACCAGGAUGUUGGCUUAGAGGCAGCCACUCAUUAAAAGAGUGCGUAAUAGCUCACUGGUCGAGUGACCCUGCGCGGAAAAUAUAACGGGGCUAAGCGUCCAACCGAAGCUUGGGAUGUCUUAAUGACAUGGUAGGGGAGCGUCGUGUACGGGGUGAAGCAUGAGCGAGAGCACAUGUGGACUUUACACGAGUGAGAAUGCCGGAAUGAGUAGCGAGAAUUAUGUGGGAAUCAUAAUGGCCGAAAAUCUAAGGUUUCUUGGGGAAAGGUUCGUCCGCCCAAGGUAAGCCGGGAGCUAAGGCGAGGCCGAAAGGCGUAGUCGAUGCACAUACGGUUGAAAUUCCGUAGCCGCCGAAAUUGUUAAGCACAGGGACACAUAGAGAUAUCCGAACCCGGGCGUUGGUUGACCCGGGCGCAAGGGACCGAACAUCAGUAGGGAAGUCGGAGAUGCUCUGUGGCGAGAAAAGCUGUGCGUAUUGAUUAGGCGCCCGUACCGCAAACCGACACAGGUAGAUGAGGAGAGAAUCCUAAGGCCAACGGGAGAAGGGUUGUUAAGGAACUCGGCAAAUUGACCCCGUAACUUCGGGAUAAGGGGAGCCUCCUACGGGAGGCCGCAGUGAAUAGGCCCAAGCAACUGUUUACCAAAAACACAGGUCUCUGCUAAAUCGAAAGAUGACGUAUAGGGGCUGACGCCUGCCCGGUGCCGGAAGGUUAAGAGGAGAGCUUAGCGCAAGCGAAGGUUCGAAUUGAAGCCCCGGUAAACGGCGGCCGUAACUAUAACGGUCCUAAGGUAGCGAAAUUCCUUGUCAGGUAAGUUCUGACCCGCACGAAUGGCGUAAUGAUUUGGGCACUGUCUCAACAGCCCGCCCGGCGAAAUUGUAGUACUGGUGAAGAUGCCAGUUACCCGCAACUAGACGGAAAGACCCCAUGGAGCUUUACUGUAGCUUAAUACUGAAGAUCGGUAAUGCAUGUACAGGAUAGGUGGGAG